Molecule: small nucleolar RNA, 138 nt
Organism: Accipiter nisus (Eurasian sparrowhawk)
Lineage: Eukaryota; Metazoa; Chordata; Aves; Accipitriformes; Accipitridae
Source: Ensembl
CCGCACUGCCUUUGACCCGGCGGGGUGCCCUGCCCGCGGUGCCGCUGGCCAAGCUGCAGUGCUAGAGCGAAACGCUUGUUCAUAACUGGGGCUGCUCGGCCCCGGCCCGGGCGGUCCUUUUAAAAGCAAGUGACAGAU